AUUGAACGCUGGCGGCAGGCCUAACACAUGCAAGUCGAACGGUAACAGGAAACAGCUUGCUGUUUCGCUGACGAGUGGCGGACGGGUGAGUAAUGUCUGGGAAACUGCCUGAUGGAGGGGGAUAACUACUGGAAACGGUAGCUAAUACCGCAUAACGUCGCAAGACCAAAGAGGGGGACCCUCGGGCCUCUUGCCAUCGGAUGUGCCCAGAUGGGAUUAGCUUGUUGGUGGGGUAACGGCUCACCAAGGCGACGAUCCCUAGCUGGUCUGAGAGGAUGACCAGCCACACUGGAACUGAGACGCGGUCCAGACUCCUGCGGGAGGCAACAGUGGGGAAUAUUGCGCAAUGGGCGCGAGCCUGAUGCAGCCAUGCCGCGUGUAUGAAGAAGGCCUUCGGGUUGUAAAGUACUUUCAGCGGUGAGGAAGGGAGUAAAGUUAAUACCUUGGCUCAUUGACGUUACCCGGAGAAGAAGCACCGGCUAACUCCGUG
This 490-nucleotide ribosomal RNA is filed under the name uncultured bacterium. Its description in RNAcentral is "partial 16S ribosomal RNA". It matches the Rfam family "Bacterial small subunit ribosomal RNA", at positions 30 to 507 of the family's 1533-position model. The record is from RNAcentral.